CGAUACAUGCCCUCGUCUGCCCUUCGUAUCCCUUUCCCUCUCCAUUUUCUUUCCAGAACAAUCAACCCGGAGGUGAUCCGGCCCCGAAUGGCUGCGAUCCCCCAUGGUGGCGUCAAUCGUGCUGCGACGACGGCGAAGGAUGAGGCUCGCUUGCUGCCCCUGAAGGAGCAGACGGAGCACGCGCAGCGGGGGCGCCUGGGAGUAACUCUGCCUCGGCCGUCGGCUCCGCACACGUCGCCCCGCCCACGUCCUCCGCGUCGGCCUCGCCCUCCUCAACAACGCCUCCACGCCCUCCGGCCUCGCCCCACAACAUAAUGUGCUCUACCUUCUCUUCCCCUGUCCCUCGCUGAUCUGCCCUGUCCCGAUUGGUGGAGCGCGCCGAGGCCGACCGUCGGGCGCCGGUUGCUAGGCCGCAGGCCACCAGGGAGCCAACCGCGAGGAGUCGAGGCCGGCCGCUUGACGCCUGAUGCAUCUUGACUCGCACUUCGUCCGUCUGUUCCCCAUCGACAAUGGUGCCUCGAUCUGGCAGGGAUGGGGGUGCUGCUAGGGAAGGGAGGAGAGCCACACGACAUUCUUCAUCCAGGUCUCCUCUUCCUCCCCAAUCUGGAGUUCCACUGCCAUAGGCACCGGCGUCGAUUCAUGUCUCUCUCGUCCACCUUCAGCUCCCCCGCCCUAGCGUGCUCAUCAUCGCCCUCUCCCAGAUGGUGUUGCUUGUCGAGGUGCGGUACGUUUUCAAUCUCUUGUGAAUGCUGCCGGCACUACCGACGUGCAACAAGAUCCUAGACAAACUCGUGAAAGCACACAGGUUUGGGUUUGCCUAGGUGGUGUUCAACGAAAUGCUUUGAUGGGGAUGGUGACACAAGCACGUAGGUUAGUUGUUUGAUGAAAUGCUUUGACGGUGGAUGGUGCCACAAGCACACACGUUUGGGUGCACCUGAGAGCUGUUCGACGAAGUGCUUAGAUGGGGGGUGCUGCUCAGUUUGGCCAUGCACUCAUGCAUAAUACUGUCUCUGAUACAUGCUGGUAAAUGUGGCCAAGGCUCAGGAGGUGUGCAAUCAUAUGGUGACUACUCAAAGUUGAUAGGUGGAGCACAUCAAAAUGGAUAGCAGGUUGGUGCACAACAUCUACAAGCUACGGGUGAACUCAGGGUGUUGCCCUCGAUGCACUUCCUUUCAUAGGAUAAUCUCUCUGACGGCCACUGGGGAUCGGAGGCCGCACGUGGCCAUGGGGCAGAGUCGCCGGCAGCCAGGCCGCAUGGGCUGCUGGCCGGGGGAGCCCCCGACGCUAGCUUGCCGGCUGUAGGAAUCUCUCGACUAGCAUUCUAAUCUAUUUCUUUGUCCCUGUUUUUCUGUAUGUCUGAGCUCUGUGGUUUAUCUGUAUUGAUGAGCAUCAUUUUAUAAGUCUCAUUAAGAACAAAACAGAGAAGUUCCCUAAGUGUUCUAA
Sorghum bicolor (sorghum) is the source of this 1443-nucleotide long non-coding RNA. RefSeq lists it as uncharacterized. The record is from RefSeq and is a predicted model, not a curated record. NCBI's taxonomy places the organism in Eukaryota, Viridiplantae, Streptophyta, Magnoliopsida, Poales, Poaceae. The transcript is spliced from 2 exons.